CUGGAAGCAUGGGGAUGGUGGCUCUAUGAGGCUACUCUGGGGAGCUACUAGGUCUCCUUGAAAGAUUUAAAUCCCAACAGCCCAGGGUGGGGACCACAUUGCAAGGAACUGUGGGCAGCCUCUUGAAGCUGAGAGCAGAAUUCAGCCAAUGGCAAGAAGCCAGGCACCUCAAUCCUGCAGCCACAAGGAAAUGAAUCCUGCUAGCAACCCGAGAAGGCUUAGAAAUGGAUCCUUCCCCAGUCGAGCCUCUGAUGAGACCAUAGUCCUGGUUGACACCAAAACUGUAACCUUGUAAGAAAC
Molecule: long non-coding RNA, 300 nt
Filed under: Homo sapiens (human)
Lineage: Eukaryota; Metazoa; Chordata; Mammalia; Primates; Hominidae
Description: non-protein coding lnc-TINCR-6:1
Source: RNAcentral